GAUGAACGCUGGCGGCGUGCUUAACACAUGCAAGUCGAACGAACCUUCGGGUUAGUGGCGGACGGGUGAGUAACGCGUGAGAAUCUGCCCUCAGGAGGGGGACAACAGCUGGAAACGGCUGCUAAUACCCCAUAUGCCGCGAGGUGAAAUGAAUUUCGCCUGAGGAUGAGCUCGCGUCUGAUUAGCUAGUUGGUGUAGGUAAUGGCUCACCAAGGCAUCGAUCAGUAGCUGGUCUGAGAGGAUGAUCAGCCACACUGGGACUGAGACACGGCCCAGACUCCUACGGGAGGCAGCAGUGGGGAAUUUUCCGCAAUGGGCGAAAGCCUGACGGAGCAACGCCGCGUGAGGGAUGAAGGCCUCUGGGCUGUAAACCUCUUUUAUCAAGGAAGAAGAUCUGACGGUACUUGAUGAAUAAGCCACGGCUAAUUCCGUGCCAAAG
This 439-nucleotide ribosomal RNA is filed under the name uncultured bacterium. RNAcentral's name for it is "bacterial SSU rRNA". It matches the Rfam family "Bacterial small subunit ribosomal RNA", at positions 28 to 513 of the family's 1533-position model. The record is from RNAcentral.